UUGGGGGUGGGAGGGGUAAGGGGAGUUGCCAAGUCUCUGACUCUAUUUACAUCUCAGGAAUUGUACCUGUGUAGGGUCCCUCAGUUUUGCAGCCAAUGCCGAGGCAGGUGCAGUCCCUGCCUGCUGUGUGUUGCUGGGACACUUUGCCACAGGUGUCACCUUCACUCUCUCCACUCACCUAAUGCUGACAGUGGUGCCCGUGGACCAGGUCUUCUCCCCACACCUCCUGAAAUACCCAUUUGUUGAUGGAACCUUCCUUUAUAGCACAAGGAAUUUCCCCUCCAAGGGCCUGUGAAUGACACCAGGAGCAGCCUACUGUAUAUGAUAAUUGUUUUCCAGAUUGAAAUACAAUCAAAGUAACUACUGCCCAGGGGGUGGUAUCAGACAUGCAUGGGGAGAAGCCAUGGGGUAGCACCAAUGGGAACUGGAAUUCCAGAGCCCCUUAUGUUCCAGAAGAAUUCCUCGGACUCCAUGGAAGGCUAUCAUUCCGCCGAGCAGUUCACUCCUGCUGCUUCCAUUGGAGGGACGUGUCUCAGUGCAAGAGGCAAAGAAGUCAAGUGGACCGGGAAGCAUGUUGACCAGCAUUGGUCACCUCACCUGUCCAGGUGGGCAUUCCUUCCGCAGCUGCCCGCAUGGCUUCUCCCUGUGCAGUGUGGAUGCCCAGGCAGCGUUCCAGUGUUCCCUGAGGCCACUGGCUCAGGAACGGUGCCCCACAAUCCAUCACCAAGCAGGCAGGACAAAGGUCUGCUUGCAUCCUAACGUGGCAUACUUUCAGAUUUUGGGAGCACUUUUCCACGGAAAAGACCGAAAAUGGCCUUUUGAACCUCUAGGAGAGAAAGAGAGAGAACGAGUCAGGCUGAAAGCAGCCCGCCUGAAUCCCUGUGCCUACACACGGGGUGGGCUUCUGGCGGAAGACUGUGGGAACGGAGACUAAAUAAAUACUAAGUGCCCUCGGUGCUUCUCAAACGCAGGACUGGCAACAAUACAAAAUGCAAGCUGAAAAGACAAACAGGUAGCCCUGGCAGCUGGGCACUGCCCCCGUGUCUGAAUGAUUUUGUGGCUGAAUCAGGCACCUGGCUGUGACACUGCAGUUUGUUCCUCCUCAGCUAGGGUGACGUACUUGCCAGAAUGUCGCCUUAGUGCCUGGGCUUCUUCAGAAACAGAGCCUGUUUUUCCAGAUGUCUUGGGAAGAGAUCAUUCUUACUUCUGUUAUGCAGAUGAAGAAGCAGUGCCACAGAACUGAAGAUCAGCAGAGCAGGGACCUAAUAAUCCUAAGAUAACGACAAUGGCAAUGAUGACUAUCAGGAGCUAACCUGGGAGCUAACCUUCACUGAGGGCUUCCCUGCACCCGAUAUUCUAUUAAGUAGCCCAGUGUAGAGCUACUCAUUCUAACCUUAUUAACUCUACUCACAACACCUUAUUUGGUAGGACUGUUAUGAUCCCUAUUUUAUGAAUGAGAUCAUCAUGUUUCAGAGAUAUGCAAGGUCAUCAAACAAGUGGGAAUCAGAACAGCACUCAAAUCCAUCUUUUUACUCCAUUUUCAUAACAAACCAUAGUCUAAUUGUCUUUCUGCUGUCUCAGGUGAUAGAUGACAUUAGAGAAGAAAGGUUCCCUUUGUAGAAAAUAACAUUAUCAGGAAGAUUUUUAGAGGACAAAACAGUAAGAUCAUUCAGCAAAUACUUCGGGUGUCUAUUGAGAUUAGGUGCUGCAUUGGACAUUGGGAAGCCCUGGGAAUCACCCAGGUGAGAGGUCUCAGUAGCCAGGGGUAUCAGAUACUUUCUUUCUUUCUUUUUUUUUUUUAAUUUUUUAUUGCAUUUUAGGUUUGGGGGUACAUGUGCAGAACAUGCAAGACAGUUGCAUAGGUACACACAUGGCAGUGAGUUUUGCUUCCUUUCUCCCCUUCACCCACAUUUGGCAUUUCUCCCCAGGCUAUCCCUCCCCACCUCCCCCUCCUGCUGGCCCUCCCCUUUUCCCCCCAAUAGACCCCAGUGUUUAGUACUCCCCUUUCUGUGUCCAUGUGUUCUCAUUUUUCAUCACCCGCCUAUGAGUGAGAAUAUGUGGUAUUUCAUUUUCUGUUCUUGUGUCAGUUUGCUGAGGAUGAUGUUCUCCAGAUUCAUCCAUGUCCCCACAAACGACACAAACUCAUCAUUUCUGAUUGCUGCAUAAUAUUCCAUGGUGUAUAUGUGCCACAUUUUUCCAAUCCAGUCUAUCAUCGAUGGGCAUUUGGGUUGAUUACAGGUCUUUGCUAUUGUAAACAGUGCUGCAAUGAACAUUCGUGUACAUGUGUCCUUAUAGUAGAACGAUUUAUAGUCUUUUGGAUAUAUACCCAGUAAUGGGAUUGCUGGGUCAAAUGGAAUUUCUAUUUCUAAGGCCUUGAGGAAUCGCCACACUGUCUUCCACAAUGGUUGAACUAAUUUACACUCCCACCAACAGUGUAAAAGUGUUCCUUUUUCUCCACAUCCUCUCCAGCAUCUGUUGUCUCCAGAUACUUUCUUUUGUUCCUCAACUAUUUCCGGCCUUCAGCUGCUUGGUCUGUACAAGCCACUGCUCUGACCAGCUCUGCAUGGAGUACAAUGAAUCACACAGGCACAAAAAAAGAUUCAUCCAGAAUAUAUACCGAAUACAUACAAAGAAAAAAAAAAAAAGACUAAAAUAGGCUGGGCACGGUGGUUCAUGCCUGAAAUUCCAGCACUUUGGGAGGCUGAGGUGGGCAGAUCACCUGAGGUCAGGAGUUUAAGACUAGCGUGGCCCACAUGGUGAAACAUCAUCUCCACUAAAAAUAUGAAAAUUAGCUGGGCCUUGUGGUGAGUGCCUGUAAUCCCAGCUACUUGGGAGGCUGAGGCAGGAGAAUUGCUUGAACCUGGGAGGCAGAUGUACAGUGAGAUCACGCCACUGCACUUCAGCCUGGGCAAUAAAAGCAAGACUCUGUCUCAAUAAAUAAAUAAAUAAUCAGAUUUCAAAAUGGGCAAAAUAUUUGAGAGGUCAUUAAGCAAACGAGGAAAUCCAAAUGUUCAAUGAACUUAUAUAAAGGUGCUCAGCUUCGUUAGUUAUUACGGAAAUUCUCACUAAAACCAAAAUGCAGUGCUCCUACAUACCCAUCAAAAUGGCUGCAACGAAAAGGGUGGAAGGGGUUUGGAGCUACAGAGACUUUCAUACACUGCUAACAGAAGAAUAAAUUCACAGCAUCACUUUGGAAAAUUGUCUUGCUGUGGCCAUGAAAAACAGGUGUGCCUUAUGAUUCAGCAAUUCUGCUCCUGUGUGUAUCCCGACAGUAACACACGGAUAUGUUCACCAAGAGGCAUGCUCAUCGUGACACUAUUUGUAAUAGUCCCAAACUGGAGGCUUGACAAAGCCUGUGAAGAGUAUAAUAGAUAACUAAAAUAUGCUAGAGUCAUACAAUUGAAUAUCACACAACAAUGAAAAGGAACAGAUGAUCAUUAUACACACACUAUGGAGAAACUCACAAACACAAUGUUGACCAAAAGAAACCAUCAAUAGAAGCCAUUCAUUCCAGCACCGUAAAGUUUUAAACUAUGUUUAAAAAUUAAUGAAUGUUAUUAGAAGUCAGGAUAGUGGGUCUUCUGGGCUGGGGAGAAGCAGGGAGUGCCUGAAAAAGGGGCUGAGUGGGGCUUCUGGGGUGGUGGCAAUGCUUUGUUCCUUGAUCUAAGUGCUGAGUACCUGGGUGUAUUUGUCUGUUUUCACACUGUUGGUAAAGGCACACCUGAGACUGGGCAAUUUACAAAAGAAAAGAGACUUGAUCAACUUACAGUUACACAUGGCUGGGGAGGCCUCACAGUCAUGGGGGAAGCUGAAAGGCACAUCUCACAUGGUGGCAGACAAGAGAAGAGAGUUUGUGCAGGGAAACUCCCCUUUUUAAAACCAUCAGAUAUUGUGAGAUUUAUUUGCUAUCACAAGAACAGCACGGGAAAGACCUGCCUCCGUGAUUCAGUUACCUCCCUCUGGGUCCCUCCAACAACACAUGGAAAUUCAAGAUGAGAUUAGAAAAUAUUCUUUAAUCAAUAAAAUGCUAACGUGACUUUA
This is a non-coding RNA of Callithrix jacchus (white-tufted-ear marmoset), 4041 nucleotides long. The record is from RefSeq and is a predicted model, not a curated record. NCBI's taxonomy places the organism in Eukaryota, Metazoa, Chordata, Mammalia, Primates, Cebidae.